GUACACUCCUGCGGGAGGCAGCAGUGGGGAAUUUUGGACAAUGGGCGAAAGCCUGAUCCAGCAAUGCCGCGUGAGUGAAGAAGGCCUUCGGGUUGUAAAGCUCUUUUGUCAGGGAAGAAACGGUGAAAGCUAAUAUCUUUUGCUAAUGACGGUACCUGAAGAAUAAGCACCGGCUAACUACGUUCCAGCAGCCGCGGUAAUACGUAGGGUGCAAGCGUUAAUCGGAAUUACUGGGCGUAAAGCGUGCGCAGGCGGUUUUGUAAGUCUGAUGUGAAAUCCCCGGGCUCAACCUGGGAAUUGCAUUGGAGACUGCAAGGCUAGAAUCUGGCAGAGGGGGGUAGAAUUCCACGUGUAGCAGGGAAAUGCGUAGAUAUGUGGAGGAACACCGAUGGCGAAGGCAGCCCCCUGGGUCAAGAUUGACGCUCAUGCACGAAAGCGUGGGGAGCAAACAGGAUUAGAAACCCUAGUAGUCCCAUGA
RNAcentral lists this ribosomal RNA (478 nucleotides) under uncultured organism. Its description in RNAcentral is "partial 16S ribosomal RNA". It matches the Rfam family "Bacterial small subunit ribosomal RNA", at positions 331 to 800 of the family's 1533-position model. The record is from RNAcentral.